GACGUGUCCCCAAAUAACACUCCGCAAUUUGGUGACGUGGCCACUAACGGCCACUUUAACUUUUCUCGUUGGAGUUGAAGAAAAUCCAGUUCCUAGAGAAUACCACUUGCCUUUUCGCCAUCCACAGCGGUCGCUCGGAACAACGUUGUCAGCAGAUUCAGCACGCCUUUCUAUCCCACUCCCUCACAUCAGCGAUUCUAAAAUCAUCGCUCCCUUUUCUUUUUACGUAAUGAUCAAUCCUACGCUCGUUAUUAAUUUUAAUCUUAAGGCAUCAUUCUCACCGGCUGUUCCGGUGUCCCUUUCUCUUCUUUACAUAUAACACCGCAUUUUCUCACUCUUCAACCACUAAUCUCCACCAUCACUCUUAUCUUACUAUUCUUUUCUGCAACUUAACUUCCACUUUUCUAUCUCUUCAGUUAUGGGGAAGGUUAAGAUCGGGAUCAACGGAUUUGGUAGGAUUGGAAGGCUGGUUGCCAGAGUGGCUCUGCAGAGGGACGAUGUUGAGCUCGUCGCUGUUAACGAUCCCUUCAUUUCCGUUGAUUACAUGACCUACAUGUUCAAGUAUGACACAGUUCACGGUCAAUGGAAGCAUCAUGAGUUGAAGGUUAAGGAUGAUAAGACUCUUCUCUUUGGCGAGAAGCCUGUCGCCGUCUUUGGCAUUAGGAACCCAGAGGAAAUCCCAUGGGCUGAGACUGGAGCAGAGUAUAUUGUGGAAUCAACUGGAGUGUUCACUGACAAGGAUAAGGCUGCAGCUCAUUUGAAGGGUGGUGCUAAAAAAGUCAUCAUCUCUGCCCCCAGCAAGGAUGCCCCAAUGUUUGUUGUUGGUGUUAAUGAGAAGGAAUACAAGCCAGAUCUUCACAUUGUAUCGAAUGCUAGUUGCACUACCAACUGUCUUGCUCCUCUUGCUAAGGUUAUUCAUGACCGAUUUGGCAUUGUAGAGGGUCUUAUGACAACUGUCCAUUCCAUUACUGCUACCCAAAAGACAGUUGAUGGGCCAUCGAUGAAGGACUGGAGAGGCGGAAGAGCUGCUUCCUUCAACAUCAUUCCUAGCAGCACUGGAGCUGCCAAGGCUGUUGGAAAGGUUCUCCCAGCACUUAAUGGAAAAUUGACUGGAAUGGCCUUCCGUGUUCCAACGGUGGAUGUUUCUGUUGUAGAUCUCACUGUAAGACUUGAAAAGAAUGCAACAUACGAGGAAAUAAAAAAUGCCAUCAAGGAGGAAUCUGAGGGUAAGCUCAAGGGAAUUUUGGGUUACACCGAAGAUGAUGUGGUGUCCACCGACUUUGUUGGUGAUAGCAGGUCAAGUAUUUUUGAUGCCAAGGCUGGAAUUGCUUUGAACGAAAAGUUUGUGAAACUUGUCACUUGGUAUGACAAUGAAUGGGGCUACAGUACCCGUGUGCUUGACUUGAUCCGUCACAUUGCCUCCACUCAGCCUUGAAGAAAUUAAUGAUGAUUUUUGAUUGCUGUAUUGAGUUUGAAUGUUGAUGCAGCCUUGAAGAAAUUGAUGCUCGCUUCUGAUGUUUAAAUAAAAAUUUGAGUUCAGAUCUUCUGUGUUUGGUUUUGGGUUUUAGUUAUCAAGCUAUUGAGUUGUAAAACCAUAUGACUUUCAUGGGAAGAUUUCCAUCUUGUUUAACACAACUAUCAUGCAAUGCAAAUGCAUAAAUUUUCUUUUGAUUGCUAAUGUUAUAGUCCAUCUUUCAAUGGAUGCUUUUGUUAUUUAUAUGAAGAUCAGAGGUUAGUUGUAAAUUUGAGGGCGAAUUCCUUGUAUCGACAGUAUCCGUCCUCCUUGCAAGGCACAUGAAAAUUUUGAAUAAUCCCUUCCUCCUUGCAAGGCACAUGAAAAUUUUGAAUAAUCCCUUCGUAAAUGUUAACCCAUUGCUGCAAGAC
Molecule: unclassified non-coding RNA, 1884 nt
Filed under: Hevea brasiliensis (rubber tree)
Lineage: Eukaryota; Viridiplantae; Streptophyta; Magnoliopsida; Malpighiales; Euphorbiaceae
Source: RNAcentral